This 900-nucleotide ribosomal RNA is filed under the name uncultured bacterium. RNAcentral's name for it is "bacterial SSU rRNA". It matches the Rfam family "Bacterial small subunit ribosomal RNA", at positions 67 to 956 of the family's 1533-position model. The record is from RNAcentral.
CGGCAGCACGGGGAGCUUGCUCCCUGGUGGCGAGUGGCGAACGGGUGAGUAACACGUAGGAAUUUGCCCAGAAGUGGGGGACAACCACGCGAAAGCGUGGCUAAUACCGCAUAACUUCCACGGAACAAAGAGGGCCUCUAUUUAUAAGCUCUCGCUUCUGGAUGAGCCUGCGGCGGAUUAGCUUGUUGGUGGGGUAAAGGCCUACCAAGGCAACGAUCCGUAGCUGGUCUGAGAGGACGAUCAGCCACACUGGGACUGAGACACGGCCCAGACUCCUACGGGAGGCAGCAGUGGGGAAUAUUGGACAAUGGGCGCAAGCCUGAUCCAGCAAUGCCGCGUGUGUGAAGAAGGCCUGAGGGUUGUAAAGCACUUUCAGUAGGGAAGAAAGACCCAAGAUUAAUACUCUUGGGAGUUGACAUUACCUACAGAAGAAGCACCGGCUAACUCUGUGCCAGCAGCCGCGGUAAUACAGAGGGUGCAAGCGUUAAUCGNAGUUACUGGGCGUAAAGCGUGCGUAGGCUGAUUCUUAAGUCGGAUGUGAAAUCCCCGGGCUUAACCUGGGAACUGCAUUCGAUACUGGGUAUCUAGAGUAUGGUAGAGGGAAGUGGAAUUUCCGGUGUAGCGGUGAAAUGCGUAGAUAUCGGAAAGAACAUCAAUGGCGAAGGCAGCUUCCUGGACCAAUACUGACGCUAAGGUACGAAAGCGUGGGGAGCAAACAGGAUUAGAGACCCUGGUAGUCCACGCCGUAAACGAUGAGAACUAGGCGUUAAGCCCUUUAUGGGAGUAGUGCCGAAGCUAACGCGUUAAGUUCUCCGCCUGGGGAGUACGAUCGCAAGAUUAAAACUCAAAGGAAUUGACGGGGACCCGCACAAGCGGUGGAGCAUGUGGUUUAAUUCGAUG